This 497-nucleotide ribosomal RNA is filed under the name uncultured bacterium. RNAcentral describes it as "partial 16S ribosomal RNA". It matches the Rfam family "Bacterial small subunit ribosomal RNA", at positions 28 to 507 of the family's 1533-position model. The record is from RNAcentral.
GACGAACGCUGGCGGCGUGCCUAAUACAUGCAAGUUGAGCGCUGAAGGUUGGUACUUGUACCAACUGGAUGAGCAGCGAACGGGUGAGUAACGCGGGGGGAAUCUGCCUUUGAGCGGGGGACAACAUUUGGAAACGAAUGCUAAUACCGCAUAAAAACUUUAAACACAAGUUUUAAGUUUGAAAGAUGCAAUUGCAUCACUCAAAGAUGAUCCCGCGUUGUAUUAGCUAGUUGGUGAGGUAAAGGCUCACCAAGGCGAUGAUACAUAGCCGACCUGAGAGGGUGAUCGGCCACAUUGGGACUGAGACACGGCCCAAACUCCUACGGGAGGCAGCAGUAGGGAAUCUUCGGCAAUGGACGAAAGUCUGACCGAGCAACGCCGCGUGAGUGAAGAAGGUUUUCGGAUCGUAAAACUCUGUUGGUAGAGAAGAACGUUGGUGAGAGUGGAAAGCUCAUCAAGUGACGGUAACUACCCAGAAAGGGGCGGCUAACUACGUG